Molecule: long non-coding RNA, 398 nt
Organism: Mauremys mutica (yellowpond turtle)
Lineage: Eukaryota; Metazoa; Chordata; Testudines; Geoemydidae
Exons: 3
Source: RefSeq, a predicted model, not a curated record
CCUUAAGACACCUAAGAUGAUAACCUGGUCCAAGUGAAGUCAAUAGCAAGUCUCCCACUGACUUCAGAAAGGCCAUCAUAUUUCACUCCUAGUCACUGGGAGAUGCAGACUUCAAAUGGCAUAUAGGAUGAAGCUCAAAGACAGCAGUGAAUGAAAAAAGGACAAAGAGGGGAGAAGAAGAGGAGGAAAAAAAUCAGGAAGAAAUUAGAGGAAAAAAGAAACUGAUGCCAAGAGACAUGACUCAUAAAACAAUGUGAAAAUCUAUGUAAUUGACACAGGUGGAAUCACUGAUCCUUAUAAAACGGAAUAUGCCAAAAUUAUGGAGUGGAAUUAUGGGUUGGAAAGAUGCAGUAAUAAUGGGCCAGAUCUGCUGAUGUGAAUUGGCAUAAAUUGAAUAG